RNAcentral lists this ribosomal RNA (741 nucleotides) under uncultured bacterium. RNAcentral's name for it is "bacterial SSU rRNA". It matches the Rfam family "Bacterial small subunit ribosomal RNA", at positions 10 to 798 of the family's 1533-position model. The record is from RNAcentral.
AGUUUGAUCAUGGCUCAAACGAACGCUGGCGGCAGGCCUAACACAUGCAAGUCGAAGGCCUGUAGCAAUACAGGAGUGGCAGAGCGGUGAAUAACGCGUGGGAACCUGCCCUUCGGUUCGGAAUUCCUCUAGGUGACUUGAGCUAAUAACGGAUACGUCCGUGACGACAAAGAUUUAUCGAUGUGGGAGCGGCCCGCGUUAUAUUAUCUAGUUGGUGAGAUAACGGCUGCCCCUGGCUAUGAUCUUUACCUGGUCUGAGACGACCAUCCCCCCCACUGGGACUGAGACACGGACCACACUCCUACGGGAGGCAGCAGUGAGGAAUAUUGGACUCUGGGCGCAAGCCUGAUCCAGCCAUGCCGCGUGAUUGAUGAAAGUCUUACGGUUGCAUGCCUCUUUCAGCAGGAACGAUCAUGACGGUACCCGCAUAAUAAACCCCGGCUAACUUCGUGCCAUCAGCCGCGGUAUUACGAAAGCGGCUAACGUUGCUCGGAAUCACUGGGCGUAAAGCGCACCUAUGCUGGUCACUGAGUCGGCGGUGAAAUCAUGCAGCUCAUCUCCAGAACUGCCUUCUAUACUGGCGAUCUUGCAGUCCGGGAGAGGUGGGUGGAACUGCCACUGCCCAGGUGACCUUCGUACAUGUUCUCAGCAAACCCGUGGCGAAUGCCUCUCACUGGCCGAGUACUUACUCUGAGGCGCUACCCCAGUAGACCAUACCGCUUAAAACCCAUGUUUUUCACU